UCCGAGCCAAACACUAGUUAGGGGGCCGACAUCAUUCUAACCGCACAUCUCUUAAUCCAAUGGCCAAAAUUCUAGAAGCACCAAGCACUCAGGGAUUGAGUGCAGUUCCCACUGAGUUAUAAUAUUUAAUCUAAUGGUUAAAAAUUAUCAAAGAAAUUGAUCGAAAGAUUAAAAACAUAAUAGAAAAAAGGGGCAAAUACUUUUAAUAGUAUU
RNAcentral lists this long non-coding RNA (213 nucleotides) under Ananas comosus (pineapple). RNAcentral's name for it is "long non-coding RNA (ACOM_LNC008965)". Lineage: Eukaryota; Viridiplantae; Streptophyta; Magnoliopsida; Poales; Bromeliaceae. The record is from RNAcentral.